AGUGAACGCUGGCGGUAGGCCUAACACAUGCAAGUCGAACGGCAGCACAGUAAGAGCUUGCUCUUACGGGUGGCGAGUGGCGGACGGGUGAGGAAUACAUUGGAAUCUACUUUUUCGUGGGGGAUAACGUAGGGAAACUUACGCUAAUACCGCAUACGACCUACGGGUGAAAGCAGGGGAUCUUCGGACCUUGCGCGAUUGAAUGAGCCGAUGUCGGAUUAGCUAGUUGGCGUGGUAAAGGCCCACCAAGGCGACGAUCCGUAGCUGGUCUGAGAGGAUGAUCAGCCACACUGGAACUGAGACACGGUCCAGACUCCUACGGGAGGCAGCAGUGGGGAAUAUUGGACAAUGGGCGCAAGCCUGAUCCAGCCAUACCGCGUGGGUGAAGAAGGCCUUCGGGUUGUAAAGCCCUUUUGUUGGGAAAGAAAAGCAGCAGGUUAAUACCCCGCUGUUCUGACGGUACCCAAAGAAUAAGCACCGGCUAACUUCGUG
This 492-nucleotide ribosomal RNA is filed under the name uncultured bacterium. RNAcentral describes it as "partial 16S ribosomal RNA". It matches the Rfam family "Bacterial small subunit ribosomal RNA", at positions 29 to 507 of the family's 1533-position model. The record is from RNAcentral.